RNAcentral lists this non-coding RNA (45 nucleotides) under Schistosoma bovis. RNAcentral also lists the same sequence under 1 other name. The record is from RNAcentral. Lineage: Eukaryota; Metazoa; Platyhelminthes; Trematoda; Strigeidida; Schistosomatidae.
AUCCAGCUGACGAGUUUCAAAUAGGACGAAACGCAUGUCCUGGAU